ACUUUGUCAAUUGAUGCAUGUUGAAUCUUCAGAGUGUGUUGACUAAAAAGUAGGUCACCGUGACCUAUUUUUGGAUUUUGACGGCUAUAUUUGAAUAUUUCAGAUACUAUUUGACUUACAAUCAUCAAACUUCGUCAGUUAAUGGGUCUUGAGUUUUCAGAGUGUGUCGACCAAAAAGUAGGUCACUGUGACCUACUUUUGGACAGUUACAUUUAAAUUUUCAGGUACUAUUUGACUCAACAUCAUCAAACUUUGUUAAUUGAUGAAUCUUGGUUAGUGAGAAUUUUUGCCUGUUCUACAAUGUAUCAGAAGAGCGAUUCUAGGCCCAUGGGCCUCUUAUUAGACAUAUCUUAUCGCAUGUGUUUUGGUUGUCGAAAAUAUUGAUAAAACUUGAUAAUGAAUUGCUGAUACUAAAUACAUCCUGAUUCUGAUGUAAAGAAAUCAAGCGCUAGUUAAUAUUUUUAUACAUUAUUACUUCAUGACCAUAUAUUGCUUGUGCCAGUCUUUGCGCUUAAUGAUUUUUACGACAAGCCCAUUGGGCAAGUAAAAGUGCAAAAUUUGGUAGCCCAAAUAAAAUUUUACUAGCUCAAUGCUAUGCAAGAAUGAUUUUAACAUGAUUCGAAAUUUCAAGUUUCAACAUUUUUAUUAAGCAUUACAAUGCAAGUUUAAGACGAGAGUUCAAGCCCUAGCUCUUUCAAUUUCUAAUUCCACCAUUUCAGUCAGAUUCUUCGGUCAUUAGUAAUUAACUAAUGCUCAUACAUUCUGAAUGUCUGAUGCAGCUGCUUGUGGUUUUUUUAACUUUUGGGUGAAAUGCUUAUGUGAGUUUACUCAGGUGACCUAUUGCAAUUGGUUGCAUGUUGUCUGUCAUCAAGAGUUAACAAUUGAACAUUUUUAACUUUUUCUUGAUAACUACCUGUCCAAUUCUUUUCAUAUUUGGCAUGAAGCAUCUUUGGGACAAAGGUAACAUAAAUUGUAAAUUUCAGGACUCCAGCACCCCUGGGGCCCUAGGGGCGGGGCAAAAACUGCCCAAUUUUCAAAAAUCUUCUUCUCAAGAACCGCAUAUGUGUAAGAAAAACUAAAUGCAUAGUGAUAUAGAGCAGGAAGGCCUCUACCAAAAUUGUAACUUUCAUGAUCUCCGGGGUAGGGGUUCUGACCCCAGGACGGCGCCAAACUUGGUAUAUAGUGUUUAUAUGUAAAACACUUAAACAAUAUAUUCUUUAGUGCUGUUGAUACUAAAUUGAAACUAAAUAGAUAUUUCGAAAGAACAGGUAGUCCUUUACCAAAAUUAUGAAUUUGAUGAUUCCAGGGUUAGGUUUUGGUAUCAGGGUGGGGCCAAAAUGGUCAGUAAUUAAAUGUCUAACAAUAGACAUUUUUAACUUCUUGAUAACUAUCAUUCCAAUUCUUUUCAAAUUUGGUAUGAAGCAUCUUUGGAAGAAGUGGACAUAAAUUAUAAAUUUUAGGAUUCCUGGGGCCUUGGGGCGGGGCAAAAACUGCCCAAAAUUGACCAAUUUUCAAAAAUCUUCUUCUCAAGAACCACACAUGUGUAAGAAAAACUAAAUGGAUAGUGAUGUAAAGCAGGAAGGCCUCUACCAAAGUUGUAAAGAACAUGACCCACGAACCAUGAAAAAUGGCCUAGCCUGGGAAAUUGAUAAUUUCUGUAUAUAAUAAUCUUCGGGAUAUAGGCUUUCUAGAAAUGUUUUUCUUUUUUUCAUAUAUUCUAUACUUUUUUGUUAAUAUGACGUUGAAUAUUGUGGUAUUUAAUGUUAAAAAAUUAACAUUUCGGGAUACACGUCACAACAAUAAACCUCCAAUGACCAUGUACAAUGUACAUGAACCUAUAAAUCUCUGAAUUUAUCAAGUUAUAUGCACUCAAAUAGCUAGAAUGGCUUAUUCAAUGAUCAUAAUAAGCAUUUUUGACCAAAUUUGGGAAAUAGAAAUAAGAAAUAUUUUGGAAAUGAUGUUCAAAGCCGUGAUUGUUCAACUUUACUUUUAAAUUAUUUUUACUUGAAUUUUAAAAUACUGAAAUAAGAAGAAUAAAUAUAGUAUGUAGUUUAUUUACAUGGUGAAAGAAGUGAAUCAUUGGAACAAUUCUGUUUCAUAUCAUAUUCCAUAGUUUUGGGGUUUUUUGUUUUCUUUCUUAUUUUUUUUUUUUUUAGUAUUAAAACGACCGAGUAUCGAAAGCAAUGGUAACGAAAUAAGUUGACACCGCGUCUCGUCAAAACAUGUUCAAUUCGAAUUUACUCGGAAUUACACGUUCAACGAGCAUUUGCUGUGAAACCUGAUUAAAGGAAAAUUACUGUAGACACCUAAUAGUGAUUUGUACAGAAGCGAGCCCCGGCAGGAAUGAUGGCCUCUUUUGAAAUGAAGAUUUCAUGCCUUACUCCUACUGGGACUACAACUAACUUUGGACCUGGUCACUCGCAGAUACAGCAUGAAGUGUGCCCUCUUGAUGUACAUGGGGAUGGGAGUGAUACAGAAGGGGGACUAAUUGGAAGAACUGCUGCUGGUGGUGGUGGUGCUGGACUGUCUUGAAUCUGUUGCCUAACCGACUUGAUAUUCUUCUGUUUAAUAUGGGAGCAACACACACACUCUGGCAUAUAUUGCACAGAAAAUCAUGAUCAGAUGGUGCCCUCCCUAUCAGAGUGGUGAUCACUGACCUAUAUUUCUUUGAAAUCCUGGAUCUGUGUUUUGGUUUUACUCUCCAUGGACAGUUGAAACAGAGAAAGAAUUAGGGACCACUCCUUGGCAUAUCUGAAAUAUUUAUGUCAUAUACAUGUAAUUAAAAUAUACAAUUUGGGUUGGAUGAAAAUCUUAUCUUCAUGUUAAAACCCAUUAGCCUAGGUUAUUUUUCCUAAAAUCUAAUUAUAAAUCAAUUAACUUGUUAAUUAAUGCUUGGUGAAUCAAUUAAUAAAUUGUAUUCAAGAACUUGGAAUUAUUUUUUUUCCCACUAAUAAACUGAAAAUGUGUAUCUUCAAA
Molecule: long non-coding RNA, 2976 nt
Organism: Ostrea edulis (European flat oyster)
Lineage: Eukaryota; Metazoa; Mollusca; Bivalvia; Ostreida; Ostreidae
Exons: 2
Source: RefSeq, a predicted model, not a curated record